AGUGCAUGUGGCGGAUGCCUUGGCGAUCACAGGCGAAGAAAGACGCGGCAGCCUGCGAAAAGCUGCGGGGAGCUGGCAAACGAGCUUUGAUCCGCAGAUAUCUGAAUGGGGGAACCCACACCGCAAGGUGUAUCCGUAGCUCAAUACAUAGGUUACGGAGGCGAACGAGGAGAACUGAAACAUCUAAGUAUCCUCAGGAAAAGAAAUCAACCGAGAUUCCGGCAGUAGCGGCGAGCGAACCCGGAGGAGCCCAGCUUUUGAUAGUACGAACUUUAGCCGAAAGGUCCUGGAAAGGCCUGCUAUAGUGGGUGAUAGCCCCGUAGGCGAAAGAGUUGGUACGGUACUAAGGAAGCGAGAAGUAGAGCGGGACACGUGGAAUCCUGUUCGAAGACGGGGGGACCAUCCUCCAAGGCUAAAUACUCGUGAUCGACCGAUAGUGAACCAGUACCGUGAGGGAAAGGCGAAAAGAACCCCGGGAGGGGAGUGAAAUAGAACCUGAAACCGCAUGCAUACAAACAGUAGGAGCCUCGUCAGAGGUGACUGCGUACCUUUUGCAUAAUGGGUCAGCGACUUACAUUCUGUGGCGAGCUUAACCGAAUAGGGGAGGCGCAGCGAAAGCGAGUUCGAAAUGAGCGUUCAGUCGCAGGGUGUAGACCCGAAACCAGAUGAGCUAUCCAUGGCCAGGUUGAAGGUGUGGUAACACACACUGGAGGACCGAACCGACUAGUGUUGCAAAAUUAGCGGAUGAGCUGUGGAUAGGGGUGAAAGGCCAAACAAAUCUGGAGAUAGCUGGUUCUCCCCGAAAACUAUUGAGGUAGUGCCUCGUGUGUCGCUCCAGGGGGUAGAGCACUGUUUUGGCUAGGGGGACAUGGAGUCUUACCAAACCAAGGCAAACUCCGAAUACCUGGAAGCGUAAGCACGGGAGACAGAGCACCGGGUGCUAACGUCCGGACUCAAAAGGGAAACAACCCAGACCGCCGGCUAAGGUCCCAAAUAACAGCUAAGUGGAAAACGAAGUGGAAAGGCCGUGACAACCAGGAAGUUGGCUUAGAAGCAGCCAUCCUUCAAAGAAAGCGUAAUAGCUCACUGGUCGAGUCCUUCUGCGCGGAAGAUGUAACGGGGCUAAGCUGUUAACCGAAGCCGCGGAUGCGCUGGUUAUCCAGUGCGUGGUAGGGGAGCGUUCUGUAAGUCUGCGAAGGCGGUUCGAGAGGACUGCUGGAGAUAUCAGAAGUGCGAAUGCUGACAUGAGUAACGUUAAAGCAGGUGAAAAGCCUGCUCGCCGUAAGCCCAAGGAUUCCUGCUCUACGUUCAUCGGAGCAGGGUGAGUCGGCUCCUAAGGUCAGGCCGAAAGGCGUAGCCGAUGGGAAUCAGGUUAAUAUUCCUGAACCUGCGUCAGAUGCGAUGGGGGGACGGAGCAUGGAAGAUCAUCCGGGUGUUGGAAGUCCCGGUUGUUUAGCGUAGGAGGUCUGCAGGCAAAUCCGCAGACGCAUCUCCAAGGCAAAGACACGUGCCGCCACGGCGGCGAAGUGAUCGGAAGUGCUUCCAAGAAAAGCCUCUAAGCCCCAGUCUGAUGCGGACCGUACCGCAAACCGACACUGGUGGGCGAGCUGAAUAUGCUCAGGCGCUUGAGAGAACUCGGGAGAAGGAACUCGGCAAAUUGACACCGUAACUUCGGAAGAAGGUGUGCCGUAGUACCGUGAGAGGAGAGACACCUUGAGCGGGAAACGGUCUCAGAGAAUAGGUGGCUGCGACUGUUUAUUAAAAACACAGCACUCUGCAAAGUCGAAAGACGACGUAUAGGGUGUGAUGCCUGCCCGGUGCUGGAAGAUUAAUUGAUGGGGUGAGAGCCCUUGAUCGAAGUCCCAGUAAACGGCGGCCGUAACUAUAACGGUCCUAAGGUAGCGAAAUUCCUUGUCGGGUAAGUUCCGACCUGCACGAAUGGCAUAACGAUGGCCACACUGUCUCCUCCCGAGACUCAGUGAAGUUGAAAUGUUUGUGAUGAUGCAAUCUACCCGCGGCUAGACGGAAAGACCCCAUGAACCUUUACUGCAGCUUUGCAUUGAACUGUGAACCGAUUUGUGUAGGAUAGGUGGGAGGCAGAGAAGAGGCCACGCCAGUGGUCUUGGAGCCGACCUUGAAAUACCACCCUGAUUUGUUUGCGGUUCUAACCACGGACAGUGAUCCUGUCUUGGGACCGUGCAUGGUAGGCAGUUUGACUGGGGCGGUCUCCUCCUAAAGGGUAACGGAGGAGUACGAAGGUACGCUAGGUACGGUCGGAAAUCGUGCUGAUAGUGCAAUGGCAAAAGCGUGCUUGACUGCGAGAGCAACAACUCGAGCAGAUGCGAAAGCAGGUCAUAGUGAUCCGGUGGCUCUGAAUGGAAGGGCCAUCGCUCAACGGAUAAAAGGUACUCUGGGGAUAACAGGCUGAUACCGCCCAAGAGUUCAUAUCGACGGCGGUGUUUGGCACCUCGAUGUCGGCUCAUCUCAUCCUGGGGCUGUAGUCGGUCCCAAGGGUAUGGCUGUUCGCCAUUUAAAGAGGUACGUGAGCUGGGUUUAAAACGUCGUGAGACAGUUUGGUCCCUAUCUGCCGUGGGCGUUGGAAGAUUGACGGGGGCUGCUCCUAGUACGAGAGGACCGGAGUGGACGCACCUCUGGUGUACCGGUUGUCACGCCAGUGGCAUUGCCGGGUAGCUAAGUGCGGAAGAGAUAACCGCUGAAAGCAUCUAAGCGGGAAACUUGCCUGAAGAUGAGUCUUCCCGGAGGUUGAACCUCCCUCAAGAGUCGUCCGAGACCAGGACGUCGAUAGGUCAGGUGUGUAAGCGCUGUAAGGCGUUGAGCUAACUGAUACUAAUUGCUCGUGAGGCUUGAUC
Molecule: ribosomal RNA, 2870 nt
Filed under: human gut metagenome
Description: bacterial LSU rRNA
Rfam family: Bacterial large subunit ribosomal RNA
Source: RNAcentral